GACGGGGGGGGCAAGUGUUCUUCGGAAUGACUGGGCGUAAAGGGCACGUAGGCGGUGAAUCGAGUUGAAAGUGAAAGUCGCCAAAAAGUGGCGGAAUGCUCUCGAAACCAAUUCACUUGAGUGAGACAGAGGAGAGUGGAAUUUCGUGUGUAGGGGUGAAAUCCGUAAAUAUACGAAGGAACGCCAAAAGCAAAGGCAGCUCUCUGGGUCCCUACCGACGCUGGGGUGCGAAAGCAUGGGGAGCGAACAGG
Molecule: ribosomal RNA, 251 nt
Filed under: uncultured bacterium
Lineage: Bacteria
Description: partial 16S ribosomal RNA
Rfam family: Bacterial small subunit ribosomal RNA
Source: RNAcentral